GUGAGUUGUGCCCUUUACGAUAUAUAGUCGGAUGCUGCGAAUGCUAUCUUCGUGCCAUUUGAAACAGUGUGGAAAUUAUAAUAUUUUAUUCAUAUGAACCUAUUUUUGAACUGAUGUGAAAGAUAAAAAUUAGAAGUGGUGGAUGCGAGUGAUGGAUUGUUGUCGCGCACCUGGGGUUUCCACUUUCCAGUGAGGUUUUUAUUGCGGUAAUUGUUGGCGCUGUCACAGUAGAACCAGUACAUGCACAGCGCACCAUCAAAAUCAACGAGCGCCGUCACGGAUAGAUUGACAGAUGACCUGCUUUAAAGAAAAUAUCACACAGAAAGCGCGACGGAUCGUACCCAAACACAGCUUCGGGGCUGCAUAUAAAGGAGGCAGAACUUCCAAUCAGCGGACGUUCCAUUCGUUAACAGUCGCUUCGUCGGCAGGUGUGGCCUUACCGAUCGCAUUGCAGCAAGCAUAUUAUAUCCAUCUGCCGUAUGUUUAAGUGCGGUCAAUUUUGCGGCGUGGGCUCAGACACUUGCCGAAAUUUUCGAAACGUCUUCAUGGACCUACUACAAUCUCAAAAGGAAUCUGGAUCGUCAGAGAAAAUAAUCUGUUCCUAACUUCCUGUUGUGUAUAAAAAUCUGCCAACUGCCUUAUCCUAUUGGUGCCCGUGCCGCGAUAUCCGAAGCGGAAAUGUCAGAAGCAUUGAACAGGACGCGUAAUGUUAGCCGAAUUACUUUCCGUGGAACUGAGAUUUACGGCCCUGUUUGACGGGUGUGGUUUUUUUUGCAGUACAACUAAUACCGCAGCGAUUAACCCUAUUGUACAAUCAAAAUAUUAUUUUGUCUUCCGCUGUAUAUUAUACAAACUCGUUGAGCACCAUACAGAUAAAAAUUUCGAUUAUUCCUUUACGGGAUGCAGUUGUUCUUAAACGUUAUUUAGGCUAACUGCCGAUCCAGCUGCAAACCUAUUAAGGUAAUUAUAUAAGGGAAUCUAGAAUUGUGUUGUGAAAACCUUUUGUUUGACUAAGUAAAUGAUGGAAUUUUUUCACUUGGUUGCGUAUAAGUAAAAGCCGGUACAAAAAACGCAGAGAUUAAAACGGUGUCUUAAUUACCUAUACAAGUACUCUUCUUUGAUGGAGCUGAUAAUAUUCGUAUUAUUAUUGCUUUGCAAUACAUUUCAAUACCGGAAGUGUAUCAACGACCUGACUAAUUGACUCUAACGUCCUAAUUAUUUUCAAAUAACGCCGCUGUCCUAUCUGUUGCUUGUGCAGAGAAAUAAGUCGAUAUGUGGUCUACGGCAUCAAAAGACAGUUUGCUUAACUAGUUAGAGUUUUUUUUUGUACCCAUUGCACAAUUUUGUCAUACGAUUGCCUAAAUUUUUUAAAGUUGAAACAAGUUCUCCAUUAAUUACUGUGCAAUAACGGUCGUAAGAUUAACAUCCCCGUUAUGCAAAUCUUGAUCUAAAUCUUUGUGAAAUUACGGGAAGCCGAAUACUAUACUGACAUCGACAAACCUGUUAAGGAUAGCAAUUUCAGAUUGCACACUGUAGUUGAUAUUUUUUGUCGCUUUGCCGCUUCCGCUAUAUGGUAUCAUUGCUUGCGGUGACGGCAGUUUUGCCCAUCGUUUCUCUGGAAAUUUAGCGUGUCCAUUUAGUUUUUAAUUGACCAUGAUUGCUUUCCUGCUGGUAACCAUUUCAGCGUUGUUCACUGUGUGCUUGGCAUACAACAACGGCUACGGAGGUUACGGGGGUGGAGGAUACGGUGGUGGUUAUCCAGCAUUUCCGGCAAUUCCGUGGUUUACGUUUCCUCAGCGAUGG
This is an RNA transcript of Paramacrobiotus metropolitanus, 1803 nucleotides long. RefSeq lists it as uncharacterized. The transcript is spliced from 4 exons. NCBI's taxonomy places the organism in Eukaryota, Metazoa, Tardigrada, Eutardigrada, Parachela, Macrobiotidae. The record is from RefSeq and is a predicted model, not a curated record.